Molecule: ribosomal RNA, 843 nt
Filed under: uncultured Lysobacterales bacterium
Lineage: Bacteria; Pseudomonadati; Pseudomonadota; Gammaproteobacteria; Lysobacterales
Description: bacterial SSU rRNA
Rfam family: Bacterial small subunit ribosomal RNA
Source: RNAcentral
GAGUUUGAUCGUGGCUCAGAGUGAACGCUGGCGGUAGGCCUAACACAUGCAAGUCGAACGGUAACAGGUCUUUCGGGAUGCUGACGAGUGGCGGACGGGUGAGGAAUACAUCGGAAUCUGCUCAGUCGUGGGGGAUAACGCAUGGAAACGUGCGCUAAUACCGCACACGACCUUCGGGUGAAAGCAGGGGAAUCUCUCGGGAUCCUUGCGCGAUUGAAUGAGCCGAUGUCGGAUUAGCUAGUUGGUAGGGUAAAAGCCUACCAAGGCCACGAUCCGUAGCUGGUCUGAGAGGAUGAUCAGCCACACUGGGACUGAGACACGGCCCAGACUCCUGCGGGAGGCAGCAGUGGGGAAUAUUGGACAAUGGGGGCAACCCUGAUCCAGCCAUACCGCGUGGGUGAAGAAGGCCUUCUGGGUUGUAAAGCCCUUUUGUUGGGGAAGAAAAACAACGGGUUAAUACCCCGUUGGUAUGAAGGUACCCAAAGAAUAAGCACCGGCUAACUUCGUGCCAGCAGCCGCGGUAAUACGAAGGGUGCAAGCGUUACUCGGAAUUACUGGGCGUAAAGGGUGCGUAGGUGGUUGCGCCAGUCUGUCGUGAAAGCCCUGGGCUUAACCUGGGAAUGGCGAUGGAAACUGUGCAACUAGAGUGUGACAGAGGGUGGUGGAAUUCCUGGUGUAGCAGUGAAAUGCGUAGAGAUCAGGAGGAACAUUCGUGGCGAAGGCGGCCACCUGGGUCAACACUGACACUGAGGCACGAAAGCGUGGGGAGCAAACAGGAUUAGAUACCCUGGUAGUCCACGCCCUAAACGAUGCGAACUGGAUGUUGGGUCCAACUUGGGAUUC